This 498-nucleotide unclassified non-coding RNA is filed under the name Anthoxanthum hirtum. RNAcentral describes it as "partial external transcribed spacer". Lineage: Eukaryota; Viridiplantae; Streptophyta; Magnoliopsida; Poales; Poaceae. The record is from RNAcentral. RNAcentral also lists the same sequence under 1 other name.
UUCGUGCGGCUGACUACCGGCGCCGUGUCUUUUCAUUCGUGUGAGCUAUCUUACUGUUGCCUUUCAAGUGCUUGCGUGAUGUUACCCGACCUACGGGUAUUGGUGCUUCAUACACAGUUGCCUCGCGGUGGACGCCUUUGGGUGUUCUGCUGCGGCCAUAUGGCGCUUGCGGCGUUGCCUCUUGGUGCUGGCAUGUUUCGUGCCUGGUGCUAUCAAGGCAUCCUCGCUCCCGCUGUUGGUUUCGGAUGUUGCUCAUGAUAAAGGCUCGUGGCCCUUUUGGUUGCCUCGACCUGACCCUAAUAAUGCUCUCCGAAUUUGAGAACAACCGGAACAUGUGUUGCCUCUACCUCUCCACAGUUAGUGGUAGGAUUACGCAACAUACUGUGCCGAUCCUCAUACUAGUAGGACGAGCUAGGCCCGCUCAAUUGCGACAACUGGCCCGGCUGUUGCCUCUGCCUUGCCACGCAAGUGGACGGGUGGACGACUACCGACGCUGGA